Molecule: unclassified non-coding RNA, 2943 nt
Filed under: Hevea brasiliensis (rubber tree)
Lineage: Eukaryota; Viridiplantae; Streptophyta; Magnoliopsida; Malpighiales; Euphorbiaceae
Source: RNAcentral
CUAUUACCCCUAUGGUGACGGAGAAUAAAAAUGAAGUCUGUAGACAGUGGUCCUCACACAUAAAUCUUCUUCUUUCUCAACACCCAUUUAUCAAGGUCUUGGUGUUCUUUAUUUUCUUCUUCUCCUCCAUCUUGCUUGCUUUUUUUGUUGCCUUCUCUUGCUUCUCUUAGUAUGGCAACUAGCAGAGCUGAGGGAAAGAGGAGCUUGAAGGGGAUGGAGGAUGAGGAAGAAGAAGAGGAUGAAGAAGAGAAUAGUGGGUUAGGGUUUGGAGAUGAUGACAAGAAGAAGAAAGGCAAGAAAGGAUCUAAUGCUAGUGGGUCAAUGCCGGCAGUUUCUUGUCAAGCAGAGAAUUGCACCUUUAACAUGACCGAUGCCAAGAAAUACCAUAGACGCCAUAAAGUGUGCGACUUCCAUGCCAAGGCUCCCUUUGUCCUUGUUGCUGGAAUCCAGCAACGCUUCUGUCAGCAAUGUAGCAGGUUCCACGAGUUAUCAGAAUUUGAUGACAACAAAAGAAGUUGCCGGAGUCGUUUGAGAGGACACAAUGAGAGGCGCAGAAAAAGCUCAUCUGACUGUCAUGGGGAAGGCUCAAUUUGAAAGUAACAAAUAAAAAAUAAAUAGGUUUACUACUCACUGAGGAGGUAUAGGCUUACAAAAUAAAAUUGCCUCUUCCACGGCCAGUUAUAUCUAAAUAUGUCAACUCUAGCCAUAUGCUCUCUCUCUUCUGUCAAUUUAAUAAUAUAUAAACUUCCAUUAUAUACCAGCCAGUUCUUUCUCAAUGAUCUCUGUGGAGGUGUUCGAUUAAUCCCACAAUUAUAUGCAUAAGAUCAUCAGACAAGUACAAGGUUCCCACUAGGACAACAUAAAGAGGUAUGAAUUCCAUAAGAGAUGAUCUUGGAGACGCAAUUCAUCAACUUAUACCAAUUGCUUCGCAGCAUUAAAAGCAAGAAGCUGCAUGAAGGCAAAUUCACAAUUGAAUGCGUUAGUAGGCACAAAAACUUGUUUAAAAUCAACAAGGUUAAGAAAAUGCGACUGUUACUGUAGAAAAUGAUGUAAAUCAUUCCCAAGGCCAAAGCCGAUGAUAAAAUGCUUGAGCAUGACUUACCUGAGCAACAUCUACUAGACAAAACAUAAAUAUAGCAAUCCUUCCAGUCCUAUACUAAUAUUCGGAGGUGAUCUGCAUGUAUAACUUAAAAGUAGAUCACUGCUAGUUUGCCAAGCCCACAAGAAAUAAUAUGCAAAUCCUUAAUUUUCAUAAUAGAACCCACCCCAGUCCAUUUUACAAAAAACUUUGCCAUCCCAAAAUCCCGAUCAAAAUUCGCUGCAACCCACCAAAGCUUGUAAUGACAAUGAGAAAAUUGAAAUUCUUGGUAAUAUUUACCAUUCUUAAUCAUGCCUGAUCCCCAACAUUUUCGUGGCAAGUUCCCAGGUGACUAUUGCAGCCGCAUUAGCUGGAAAUGCUCGCACUAUUGUGGGACCCAGACCUGCAUAGCAUCCUUUAAGUCCAGUCCUCCUGUAAAUCUUGUUAAGUACUCGAAAUGGAUUUCUGGUGGAGCUUUUAUCUGGAGCAGUCUGGAUAAUAGUUUUCGCCACAUCCAAGGGCAAAACAGCAGACCAGGAAGCUACACCACCAAGGCCACCACUCACAAUUCCAACUCCCAUGUCAAUAAAGUUGUUGUGGACAGAAAAAGAAGCUUUCAAUUGUAAAUGCAUGUAAUAACGGACAUACUCAUAAACGCUAAAGAAAACUGCAUUUCCAAAAGAUUCUCUUAACAGUGUUGUAAAACCCCCUCGAAAAAUGCCUGCAACCCCUUCAUUUUUCACUGUUUGAAGGGCACAAUCAAGAGGACUAUUGUAUCUACUGGACUUUGGAACCAAGGAGUCAGUACCUUGAACUUGCAUCCUACACUUUACUAGCUCAGAUGGACAUAAUACAAAACUUAUAAUUGCUCCACCAUAAGCUGCAGAAGGAAUUAUUACUUGGGGCAUUGGCACAUCACUACGCACUCCUCUCUUCUGCAAGGACUGCUUUGUUUGAGAAUAAAUCCCAAAAAGAAGUGAACUCUCAAAAGCCAUCCCAAUAAAUGAUGAUGUUGCACCCCUGUAAAGUCCUUUAACAAUAAGAUGUUAAAAGAAGCAUACUCCUUCUGUCUUUAGGAUCCUAGUCGUGCAAUGCAAACCAUUCCUGUACUUAAUAGCAUGCGCUUCCGCAUUGUGUUUUUGCAGCUUUACCUAAGAAAAAUGAAUAAAUAAACAAAAUAAUUACAAAUACAAAGAGAAUUUCAUUAACCCAUUUUCUUGAAGCCACUAUGUGAUAAACCCUCUCUAGUAUUUGCAGAACUGCAAAAUCUAGAGCUACCCAGAUAUACCUUGACGGUGUCGAAGGGAUGACCGGUGAUAACUGUGGCAACACCAGCGAGUAAACCGGCUAAGUAUUCCUUGUAAAUCCCAGUGUCCCCCAUUUUCCGUUUCUCUCUCUAAACCCCUAAACCUGUGGACUCAAUAUUGUUUGUUUAUAAUAGGGGAAGUAAAUAGUGACGGUGGUCCUUGUCAUCACCCACUGAACUUGCGAAUGGUGUGAAUCUACGACCGAAAGAGAGAUUGAAGAUACGGAGAGUGGAUACCGGCCAGAAAUGGUAUAUGUAAAUUAGAAGAAAAAGAUGAUGGAGAAUGGAGAGUGACUACUUGUUGGGUCGAGUUUAUAUAUUGCGACAUACAGGACCUAUGAUCUGCUUUGGUUCAUGAAGCCGCUAAUGGGCGAAUAUACUUCUUUCUUUUUUACUACAAUAAUAAAAAUUUUGACUUUAUAAUAAAAAACUUCGCCCUCUUACCUUUGCUUGAUUAGGCAAGAAUUCCCCUUUCCCAUUAAGACACGAUCAAAUGAUCAUCUUUAUGCUUUUGCUGCUCUUGUUCUUUUUUAUUUUUUAAGUUAAUUUUUUAUAUUCA